RNAcentral lists this transfer RNA (71 nucleotides) under Bos taurus (domestic cattle). It matches the Rfam family "tRNA". Rfam says of the family: Transfer RNA (tRNA) molecules are approximately 80 nucleotides in length. The record is from Rfam by way of RNAcentral. RNAcentral also lists the same sequence under 5 other names. Lineage: Eukaryota; Metazoa; Chordata; Mammalia; Artiodactyla; Bovidae.
UUCCCUGUGGCUCAGCAGUAAAGAAUCUGCCUGCAAUGCAGGAGAUCCAGGUUUGAUUCCUGGGUCGGAAA